UACAGAGGUCCCGAGCGUUGUUCGGAUUCACUGGGCGUAAAGGGUGCGUAGGUGGUGAGGUAAGUCGGAUGUGAAAUCUCCAAGCUCAACUUGGAAAUGGCAUUGGAAACUACCUUGCUGGAGGUUUGGAGGGGGGACUGGAAUUCUCGGUGUAGCAGUGAAAUGCGCAGAUAUCAGGAGGAACACCGGUGGCGAAGGCGGGUCUCUGGGCCGAUACUGACGCUGAGGCACGAAAGCGUGGGGAGCAAACAGG
RNAcentral lists this ribosomal RNA (253 nucleotides) under uncultured bacterium. RNAcentral's name for it is "partial 16S ribosomal RNA". It matches the Rfam family "Bacterial small subunit ribosomal RNA", at positions 524 to 776 of the family's 1533-position model. The record is from RNAcentral.